AGAAGGGGCAGCUUAACUCCAGCUAUUCCAUUUCUUUGAAAAAGAAAGUGAUAAAAUGUUGCCAUGGGCUUAUAAAAAUAUUUGGCAAUGUACCUCCCAAGAAACAGCAAAGAAACUUACAAUUUUUUCUACCGAGAAAAUAAAUUGAAGGCUCAGAAAACUAGGAAAUAGAGUGCUUGACCAACUUUCUCCAAAGGAAGGAAUAGAUAUUCAGUUGAUUUACUGUGGUCAAGCGUUGGGAGGAGAAGGUACAAGGAUGAGAGGGAUGGGCAAGGACAGGAGAGGUGAAUGCUGGGAAGCUGGACGGCAGGAGGGUGAGGACACACGCAGGGACCGCAGGAGUGGGGGCCCCGGGGAAGAAAGAUGGGAAAAGAAUGACUUGACAGUGAUGACAUCUGGCAGAUGCCACCUUCAUCAUAAGGCCACAAUUCAUACAAGCCAUGGGACCAGUCGAACCCAUUCACCACCCGGUAGGACCCAGCGAGGAGAGCAUGACAUCAUUUUUGUGAUACUUCUGCCAGGAAUGUGUAUCCUGAAUCCAGCCAGAGGAAACACUAGACAGACCCAACGUUCUACAAUUUGCAAUCAUCUAAAGGGCAUGAGACCAGGGAAAGACUGAGAAACUGGUUUUGAAGAAAAUCAAGGAGACUUUGAGAACCAAACACGACACGAGAUUCUAUACUGGAUCCCUUUAGUAUGAAGGACUUUAGUGGGACAAGUGGUGAAACUUGAAGGGUAUUGGGGACUGGAUGGUGGGGAGGGCUCUGUGCUAAUUGCGCAGGUAUCAAUUCUUCUUGCCUCAGCUUAUCAAUCAAUCCUUACCAAUAAUUAGUAAGACUGCAAAAUGAAAUUAAACAGUUUCCUUUACAUUUUCUGCCUACUGAGAGCUGUAAAACAUGAUGAUGAUAAAGCAAAUAGAAAAAUAAUGUUAGUAAAAGAUGGAAAUAUAAAAGCAUAUUUGGAAGAAAUUAUUCAAUGGAGAAUAAGAAAUGAGAGAAAUAUGUUCAGUGGUGGAAUAGUGC
This 1022-nucleotide long non-coding RNA is filed under the name Equus asinus (donkey). RNAcentral describes it as "lncRNA (ENSEASG00005026352.1)". The record is from RNAcentral. Lineage: Eukaryota; Metazoa; Chordata; Mammalia; Perissodactyla; Equidae.